Molecule: ribosomal RNA, 468 nt
Filed under: uncultured bacterium
Lineage: Bacteria
Description: partial 16S ribosomal RNA
Rfam family: Bacterial small subunit ribosomal RNA
Source: RNAcentral
GACGAACGCUGGCGGCGUGCUUAACACAUGCAAGUCGAACGGUGAUGCUCCAGCUUGCUGGCGUGGAUCAGUGGCGAACGGGUGAGUAACACGUGAGCAACCUGCCCCAGACUCUGGAAUAAGCGCUGGAAACGGCGUCUAAUACUGGAUACGAAACUGGCCCGCAUGGGCAUGGUUUGGAAAGUUUUUCGGUUUGGGAUGGGCUCGCGGCCUAUCAGCUUGUUGGUGAGGUAAUGGCUCACCAAGGCGACGACGGGUAGCCGGCCUGAGAGGGCGACCGGCCACACUGGGACUGAGACACGGCCCAGACUCCUACGGGAGGCAGCAGUGGGGAAUAUUGCACAAUGGGCGAAAGCCUGAUGCAGCGACGCCGCGUGAAGGAUGACGGCCUUCGGGUUGUAAACCUCUUUCAGCAGGGAAGAAGCGAAAGUGACGGUACCUGCAGAAGAAGCACCGGCUAACUACGUG